CAGGGGCUGCUGUGCAGGCUGCUGGAGAGAUGGGCAUUUGGCCAUUCUGUGUGUGCUGGAGAAGGAGCAACGCUCUUUAGAGGGAAACUCUAGAGCUGACUUUGCUUAUUUGAGAGCGUCGGAUCAAUUUGCUGUGACCGGAUACCUCACGGGAAGCAACUUAACGGAGGGCUGGCUUUGGCUCCUAGUUGGAGGGGCUACAGUUCAUCACAGCAGGGAAGCCAUGGUGACAGGAGCAUGAGGUAACUGGUCUCAUCACUUCCACAGCCAUGUAGCAUCAAGCAGACAGGACAUGGGAUAAGGCCAGCCCCUAUGAUUUCCUUUCUCCAUUGAAUUGCCUCAGUCUUCCAAAACAGCGCCAUCCACUGGAGAUCAAGUAUUCAAACACAUGAGCCUUUGGGGGACAUUUUACAUUGAAAUCACACCACUAAGUAGCUUGGGCUGAGCUCAUCCUCCUGCCUCAGCCCCUGGAUUGCAGGGAUGACAGUCGUGUGCCUUAAUGCCCAGCGCAGAGGAUAUGAGAAAGGAAGUCAGUCACUCCAGCCACCCCCUGGACCCCAGUCCACUUACUUCUUAGACACCGUGGGUUUGGCUUUCUCCUUCAGUGGCCGUCUUUGAAAGCUUCACAAUUGUACUGGCUGGUUUUGUGUGUCAGCUUGACACAAGCUGGAGCUGGAACUCACAGAGAAAGGAGCCUCAGUUGUGGAAAUGCCUCCAUGAGACCCAGCUCUCCUGCUUCCUGACCUGCUUGAGUUCCAGUCCUGACUUCCUUUGGUGAUGAGCAGCAAUGUGGAAGUGUAAGCUGAAUCAACCCUUUCCUCCCCAACUUGCUUCUUGGUCCUGAUGUUUGUGCAGCAAUAGAAACCCUGACGAAGACACUGAUAUGAUCUCUAGUACAUGCCGGACAAUUAUGCUUCAAUUGCUCUGUCCUGAGAAAGUUUUGGGAAAGGACUGCUCUGUUAAUAUUUAGUAUGUGCUUCCUGGCAUUUAUUUAUGUGUUGAUCUGAACUCAAACGACCUUCCUUGGAUCACUGCUUUCUUUGUUAUGUUCACGUAUAAGAGCACACUAAACUGAAGUAAGGUUGUCUACGGCAUCAGACUGUAGUCCGCUCCAUUCCGUCAGGUCCUCAGAUCCUGGGUCCAGCAGACAAGGUCUGCACAGGUCAGCUGAGAGCUUGACACAGGGGAUCUGACAUCCUUUUCUGACCUCCAUGGGCACCUGAGUUCACGGGUACAUACCCUCUUAGAGACGCAUGGGUACACGUAAUUGAAAGUAGUAGAAACAAAUCUUGCCAGUACCGUUUGAUAAUCUUUAAUAUCCAUUUCUUCGACAUCUUGCAGUGAGCUAGAGUAAAAGUGUGAGAGGGACUCUUUCUGUGAAUGUAGCAGCCAGCGUCUUAACCCGCGUGCGGAUAUAUUUUUCACCACCGUCAAAAGGAAAAAGAGAGCAGCUCACUCUCCUCAUUUCCUGCCUGUCUUGAUUUGGAAACCAAUUGAAAGGAAGUAGCAGACCUAGGGGGUCAGAAUGUCAGCCUCAUUACCGACGAAGCCAACUGCAGAACGGGAAACAGGGCUAGAGAGAAUCUGAAGCCAGAUGCUCUUUCUAGCAAUCUCCGAUUUAGACGAUGUUCACAGUCACUGCUGGCUUCCUCCUCCCACACCUGUUUAAGGCUGGCCCUUUCCAGGAAGCGGAAGGACCAAAGAAUACUUCUCAGUAGCAGGACCAAAGAGAACUCAGAAGGGACAAAGCCACCGCAAACUCAUUUUCCUACAAGUACUAAAGUACUCACUAGGGAAUGCCCGGGAAAUGAGGGGGAGGCCAGGAGCCUCUGGGAGUGUCUUGUGGAUGUAACCUUAUAGGUGCAACUGUGUGUAAGGGAGCCUGAGGCCAACAGGACUCCAGCGGUGUUUUAGAAAUUGGGCUAGGACAGAAACAGGAAAUCAAAAUAACACAUAUCUUAAAGAUCCCCAAAUGACAGGGCUGAAGAGACAGCACAGUGGUUAGGAGCACUUACUGCUCUUGCAGAGGACCCAGGCUUUGUUCCCAGCACCUAUAUGUUGGCUCAUAAUUGUCUGUAAACUCCAGUUCUGAAGAGUCUGAUGACUCUUUGACCUCUGCAAGCUCUUACACACAUGGUGUGUGUCUGUGUUAGCACACAUGCACUCACACAAAUAGAUACUUAGAAACUUGGGAUGGUCAAUCACUAUCUGCAGAUGAUAUUGCUUGUUAGAAAACAUGAGGAUGGUGGAGAAGGCUCAGUGUGUGAAGUGUUUGCUGCACUUGUUGUCUGGGGACCUGUGGUUAGCACACAGGUCAAGAGUCAACUGUACAUCUGCAGCCCCAGUGAGGAGGCAGAGGCAGGAGGAUUCCUCAAGCUAAACUGGGCAAAUCUAGCUGAAUGGGUGAGGUCUGGGUUUAGAGAGAGGUUUUGUCUCAAACAAUAAAGUGGAGAGAGAUUGAGGGAAACACCAAGUGUCAGCCUCUGACUUCCACAUGCAUCUGCACAUGUGUGUGUGUGUGUGUAUACCUGAGUACACAUGUGUGUUAUGUGUUUGUACACCUGAACACACAUGUGCCCACACAUAAGGCACACACAGGCAAGAGCAUACAAGCAGAUGAACAAAAACAUUUAUUAGCACAUAUAAAAUAUUCAGUAAGUGAAACUAUUACCUUAUAAAAUGUCAAAAAUAAUAGCUUUUCUAUAGACCAACAAAGUAGCAAAUUGGACAAGGAGUCCUAAAAAUCAAAUCACAUCAUCAAUGUUGAGGAGAUUUAACAAAAGAAGAACGUUGGGAGAAAAGCCCACUCUACCAAGUAUGUACUGGCUACAGAGGUGUGUGGAGUAGCAUCAAGAAGAGUCCUGGGCCAGGGGGCCACAGACAUUUACAGCUAAUUCACACAGAAGCAAAACUACCACUAGAUCAUUCAAAGCAAGGUUGAGUCUCAUCAGUAUGUAAAGAAAUACAAAUUCAAAGGAGACAUUCUAUUGACAAAGGAUGGCUUGUACCCACCCAGCAUGGGCAUAAAGAUAUGGACGGAGAGCAUCUUGUCUGAUUUCACAUCUGGAAGUGUGCAUGUAAAAAGAGGAGAGUCUAGUAACUGCAUUAACAGUUGUUGCUAAACAAACAUUUGUAGCUUGUCACUUUUCUGCAAGAAAAUGGUGCUAGUUCUGUGAAUAGCUGAUGCUGGGAACAGACCCCCACACCUUAUAUGCUGUCUUAGGGUUUCAUUGCUGUGAAGAGACAAUGACCCCGCCAAUUCUUAUAAACAAAAACAUUUAAUUGGGACUGGCUUACAGUUUCAGAGGUUAGUCCAUUAUCAUCAUGGGCGAGAAGCAUGGCGGCCAUGCAGGAAGGCUUGUUAGAGAAGGAGCUGAGAGUUCUAUAUCUUGACCCACAGGUAGCAGGAGGAGACUGUGUGUCACAUUGGGUAUAGCUUUAGCAUAUAAGACCUCAAAGCCCACCUACACAAUAAUAUACUCGCUCCAACAAGGCCACACCCACCAACAAGGCCACACCCACUCCAACAAGGCCACACCUCCUAAUAGCGCCACUCCAUAUGGAUCAAGCAUGAGCAACUCACCUAUUCAAACCACUACAUAUGAUAACUGUGCCGUGUUCCACUGAGCUGGAUCUCCAGCAUCCAAAGCUUUUUUUUAAGUAAAUAAUCCAUUUUUUCAGAAAAGCUUAGAAAAUGUUGAGUUAGUAGUAAAAACGGUGGCUCGAAGACAAGCGGAGACCGUUUGGGAGCGAGGUAUGGGCAUGGGGAUUAGAGGUUGAUGGAGCAGAGCGUCACAAUUGUCCUCAGUGGACGCUGGGUCUUAAAACUGUUGAGCCGGAGAACUGCCAUUUUGCAAGGAGAGCGAGCCCUUUCUCCAGGGGCAUUCUUCUUCGGGAGGGGCCACUUGAUGAACCCCUGCAAGCUGGAAUCAGCCCAAACAUCCACAAGAGGGAAGUGGUUCAGUAAGCUGUGGUGCAUUGAUCCUGCGGGCUCUGCGUCAUCGGCGUCUGUGUGGAGCAAGAGCACUUGAUGGUGGGAGUAUUUAAUGGCACGGAAAUUUGCUUACUGCUUAUUGUUAAAUGAGAAUCUGUUUUUAAACUGAGUGAGGAGUGAGUUUGAUCACUGUCAGGGGUGCGCUUUUCAGGGGAAAGAUUGGCAGGAUUUUAAAUUUUAUCUAAGUUUUUAAAAAAACAGUGAAAAGCAGGAGAAAGGAGAGAUGCAUGUAAUGUGGUCACAUCGGGGAGAGGGACAGAGAGAUCCAGUGACCCCACAAAGUCUACCUUUGAGGUCCUGGCAUGAGGCUGAGGUUUAUGUAGAGGACAGAGUUAUGAUCUCUAAGUCAUUCCCCGGGGAAGGUGUAUUCCUACCCUCUACUGACCCAUCCUGUCUCCUCUGCAAAUCACUCUAACAAGCUGUAAAUAUCUUCCCUGAGAAGUUUCCCUUCUGACUGAUUCAGGCACUUUUCUAUAGUGUGUGUGGUUUUUCUUGUUUGUUUGUUUGGAGAAUACUUUUAGAUGCUGCUUGCAUCCAGUUUAUAGAUAAUGCAGAUUUUUUUUUUUGUGGCUGUGGCUUUCAAAUGGUUACAAGAGUCAAUACAUGCAAGGAAAAGUCAAUCAGGUGUUUGCCAGACAAAGAAGGGUCAAGGGUCAAGGGCCAACUCCAUGUAUAGGUGGCUCAGAAACAGAGAGUAGGGGAGGGAGUUCCUUCAGCCACGGAGGAGACCUUCAGCCUCGGGACUCCAAAUGCCAGAGAGGCAAAGACAAAACCGUUGUUCAGUGAGAUGGAAACUCACUCUACCUUGGUGUCUUUUCUUUAGGCUUCCUCUGGUUUUCGACAGGCUUCAUGCAGCUAACUGCUCUAUACAUGGAUGGUAGAGAGUGGAUUAACAACGCAAGAGGUCACAGUUGUGUUUUCCUAGGCAGCUGAACAAUGGCAGAAGACACAGAGACAGUGAGGGUCAGGGGAAGGCCAAGAACCACAGGUCGAAUGGUUGUGGGGUUAGGAGGGCCUCUCCUGGAAGAGAAAGGUGAGCUCAGGUUUGGCUACCCAUACAUAAGGACCUGGAAACCUGCAGAUUUCUAUCAUCGUGGUUUAAUAACUACAUCAAACUACAUCAUUUUUUUCAAGUUUUACAUUUAUUUUUAUUUUUUAUUUCAUGUGUAUUGCUGUUUUGCCUGCCUGCAUAUCUGUCUGUGUGAGGGUGUCAGAUCCCCUGAAACUGGGUUUACAGACAGUUAUGAGCUGCCAGGUGGGUGCUGGGACUAACCCUGGGUCCUCUGGAAGACCCAGAGCUUCCAGAUGCUCUUAAUCGCUGGGCCACCUCCCACGCUCUUUGGAUUUUAGUUUUUGAGUACACGAAUGUUUUGCUUGCACAUUUGCAUCCAGUACCUACAUAGGCAAGAAGAAGUUGUGGUAAAAAUAAAAAAGGGUUUCUUUUAACCUGAGUUAAUGCCGGCACCAUAGGGCCACAUGGCAUCUGUGGAAUAUUUUCAUCUCAGUCAGCAAAGCGUCUCACCCGCUAAGUUCCAUUCCAUCUCACACUGCUGAUGGCUACUCUCUGAGCCCAGCAGCAAUCUCUCUACCCAUCUAGCUCCCAGGGCGGGUCACUGUCAUGCCAGUUUCAUACAGAGACCGCCUAUCUCAUGCCUCUCUUACUGUGGACUCAAUUAAGUCGCCACAUGAAAGAACACAGCACACAAUAACCUCUGAUCCAAUUUAAGAUAUAAUUUGCCCAUCUACACGACACAAAAUCCUGUACACACCCAUCCCUUAAAAAUAGUCAUAACAACCUGUAUCUAUGCGCAGAGAAGGAUCUUAGCAUGUGCCGCCAUAUUCUCCCAGCUUCUUCUCCUCACUCCCGUUUCCUUCUCUCUUGCUUCUCCCUCCCUUCUAAAACCUCUGUCCCCGCCUCCCUUCCUUCUCGCCCAAUGACAGGCCCCAUUUUAACUUGUCUGCCUUCACCUGCAGAAUGACAUCAUCAACCUCUAAGAAGAGAACGUUGGAUCCCCUGGAACCAUAGUUUUAGACAAUUGUGAGCUGCUAUGUAGGUUCUGGGAAAUGAACCUUGGUCUUCCUCAAAGCCAGUGCUUUAACAGUGGCCAUUGCUGCUAACUGUUGCUCUAUCUCUCCCACCCCCAUUUUCUAGGACUCCUGUCUGGAAGAACAAACACAGGGCAUCAGUAAUAAGAUUAGUCAGGAAACACAGAGACGAUGCUAAGGACAGGGCUGUUGGUGUGGUGAUGUUUGACACUUGGAUGCGGAGAGGAGGGGGCUCCACAGGCAAUGGGAGUGACUGACCAGAGAGUUGGAGAUCUGCAUGAAGCCAGUGCAGGCAGGGAUGUAGAUAGGAAGGAAAAUAGAGACUCUGAGGGCAGGCUUUCACGCAGAGACUGGGUUUGGCACAGAAAAUAUGGAUCAGGCAUUGUGGGAGAUUAGAGUGUAUAUGCCCCACACAAGGUGGACGCUCACUGAGAGUGCUGCCAACAGAAGGGGUCUAGGAUGGGACAGAGGAGCAGGUUACCUGAGAGCCAGGGCCACUAGCAGGGACAUUCCACUGCUGCUGGAGAGAUGAGACAGUUGUGAGGCUGUCCUCCACCCAGACUGAUGAGAGCUCUCAUGGUGUCCUCCCUUCUGCAGAAGGGAAGCUAAAGUCACUUUCCCUGAGCGGGGCAUGAUGUUGGGAUGGGGAGCUGAAACACAGCAGGGAAGAUUAGAAACAGCUGUGUGUGUGUAUGUGUAUGUGUGUGUGUAUGUGUGUGUGUAUGUGUGUGUGUGCGUGUGUGUGCGUGUGUGUGUAUGCGUAUGUGUGUAUGUGUGUGUAUGUGUGUGUGAGUGUGUAUGUGUGUAUAUGUGUUGUGUAUGUGUGUGUGUAUGUGUGUAUGUGUGUAUGUGUGUAUGUGUGUGUGAGUGUGUAUGUGUGUAUAUGUGUUGUGUAUGUGUGUGUGUAUGUGUGUGUAUGUGUGUAUGUGUGUAUGUGUGUAUGUGUGUGUAUGUGUGUAUGUGUGUGUGUAUGUGUGUGUGUGUAUGUGUGUGUGUGUGUUGGCGGGACAGGAGCUUGUGGAGAGUAGAGAACUGAGUGAGUGGAAUCAGAUCUGUGAGUUAAAAAGUUGGUUGUCUUUGGAAGGUGGAAAUGUACUUCCCAAGGUGAAAGGAGGGAAGAGAGUGAGCAAAGCGGAGAAACACCAGCCGAUCAGCAGAAGGCACCAUGCAGACCAUGUUGCCUCAGCAACUGGACACUGGAAGCAGACCGAGUCCCUGGUUCCCAACAUCAGCUGUCAGUGAGAAACUUUUCAAGUUCUCUGGAGGCAUCUUGUGACCCUGGAAGAAUGUGGUUUGAGGAAGGUUAAUCUGGCAUAAUUUAUGGGCAGGAAAGGAAAGGGGACCCUGGGAAUAAGGAGAACACUCCCUUGUCACAGACAUCUAGAAAGAAUGGCUAAUGACUGGCAAAACAAUGAGAUUAAACAAUCCAUUGAUUGUGCAUUUAAACUUCUAAUUUUAAAUCUAGCACACUAAUUAAGCAUAAAUUAUUUUGCCAUUCAAAUGUAUUCUGGUUGAAGCUUUCUCGCUGUUGGAGGUGACAGGGGAGGAGGGUGGAGGGGAAGUAAUCUCGAGUCAACAAUCAGCAUCAUGUCUGCUUCUUCCGAAGAGCUCUAGGUUUUGGGGCCUUGCUCGAGGGUCUUACCUCUGGAUGUGCAACUGGGGUCAGGGGCCAGUCUCUGGGACUUGCCAUUGUUAAAGGUGGCCUGAAGCUGCCUUGGCCUUUCCAAGUCCUUGACUUGCCAAGGACAUCUGGAGUGGAGCAUGGAGCCAAAUGCUUCUACGCUAGAACAAGCCAGAAGGUAAACCAGAUACCGCACUAAACAUAGCUUCUAGACAAGGCUAUUUGAGACACUAGCCAUUGUCCUUGUGGUAAUCCAAGAGGUACAUAUCAAGUUUAGCUGGGCAGAAAGAAGUGUAGUACCUUCAACCCUCUAUGAUGAGGCCAUAGCAGGAUAAAAAUGGAAGGGGAGGCAGAGGGGCAAGGUAUGCUCCCUACUCCCUUAGAGGUACGUCUGAGGACCGUGUCUUCACAAAGCUACUGUUGCUCUCGGACCUCUGGGGUGGAUUCAUUUUGCGGAGCACUCACAUUACUUCACCUGCUAGACCAAGCCACAUUUGGGGUGGGAGCAAGCUUGCUUUCCUGCAUAGCUGACCCGGAGAUAAGCCCCCAUUUCUGGGGGGGGGGAAAGCUGAGUGAUUGAUCUGUUGGUCUGAGUUGAGGCUCAAGCAAAGUGAGUUCCUCCUGGCCCUGAGAAGGUGGAAGGUUUAGACAGUGUGACCUCAUCAUCCCCUGUGAGCUUUGCAACAAGACUGAAAAGCCAACCAGACAACCACGAGUCUAGGAUCAAAGUGUCUGCACAGCAAUCCUGUUCCACGGCGACAGCGGAUGGACGCUACUGCAUAAGAGAAGCUGAAGAGACUCAGUCGCAAUGUGGAUGAGAAGCAGCCAGGCAGAAGAAGAGUGCAUGUGGUUGCAUCUCUGUGGAGUUCAGAAUCAGGCGUGACUCAUCUGGGCUGCCAUCGCAGGUGCCAUCUACAGUAUCUGAAGGAGCUGGUCCACCUGGCACAUGGGGAGUCCUUCUCUGUAUUGGUCAGCAUUCAAUAGACACAUGAGCGUUUAUCCCCUCUAAUAUAUUUGGAUUUUGGUAACCGAUCAUGGGAAAGUUUCUCUAUCAAAUGAACAAUGAUAUUUCAGGCAGAAAUAUAAAGGAAUGGUGUUAAUUGGACCACUGAAGAUCUAUCAUUUACAUACCUAUUAUCAAUCAUCUAUCUGUGAAUCAUCCAUCCAUCAUCUGUCAAUCAUCUAUCUAUCUAUCUAUCUAUCUAUCUAUCUAUCUAUCUAUCUAUCUAUCUAUCAUCAUCAUCUAUUCAUUAUCUACCUAUCUAUAUAUCUGUCAUCUAUCAACUGUCCAUCAAUCACCUAUGUAGGUAUGUUGGUAUGUACAUAUGUAUGUAUGUAUGUAUGUAUGUAUGUAUGUAUGUAUCUGUCAUCCAUCCAUCCAUCCAUCCGUCCAUCCUCCAUUUAUCUACUCUAACAUAUACCCAUACAUUUUUAGUGUCUUUGCUUGGAAAUACUGAAUUUACUUGAAUUGGAUAUUCGAUUCCACAGCCUAAGAACUGCCAACAUACUUUCGUGUCUCUGCCUGAGGUGGAGGCUGGGCACACUGGCAGCCAGUUUCUCCCUUCUCUCAUACUUGGGUGUAGUUAUGUCUGUGGUGAGAAUGAGCUGCAGGUAUGCACACGCCACUGUGGGUCUCAGAAACCUUCCUGGUCUUGCUCAUCCACAGGCAGCACGUGAUGCCAAGGGUGAACUUGAAAGGUGCUGGGUGCAGGCCCCUGAAUACACCUACAACUUAAAUGGCAGGGAAGUAUUUGCUGUACACUUUGGGAGUUUACUGCUAACAGUGGCGUUCCUUUAAUCUGCAUUCUGUUUAUCCAGUGUUGAAGGCCUGAGGUCUGGAGACAUGGUCGGGAUCUUACUCUUUUCGUCCUCUCCCCCAGAGCCUGGGGAGAGAGGAGAGCAGAUGCCUAGAUGUUGUGUCCAGAGGAUGCAAAGACUGAGAAAACACAAGGCAGCUUAUGUAACAGAGUUGCUGGGUGGGGCCUGACCAGCAACCUUGGUAGGUUUUGAGCAUCUUGGGUGUGGCAGAGGCAGCCCACCUUUCCCAGCAACCUCUUGGGACAUAGGCACAGCCUGGCAUAGAUGGCUAUCUGAGUAGCUAGUAAAGAUCAAAGGCAAACAUUAUCUUUGCUGUCUGGGAUAAAGGCAGCUUUGGACCAGGAUGGGUUCUGGCUCAGACAUUAAAGCUCAGGCUUAUAUAAGUCAGGAUGCUCAGAGACCUAUGUGCCCAGCGGGAGCUGGGGCUCAACUCUGCAGCUGUUCAUGUCAUUCCUGAGUCUUGUGUCUUGGCCUUUCAGGAUGGAAACCCCAGAAUGCUAGUCUAUCUUCUGGGUGUACGAUACCACUCCUCCCCUCCUGACAGCUCAGUCCUGUCAUGGCUGAGGCCCUGUGGAUCUUGUCCUCAGGAACUCAGUGAUUGUAGGAGCAGUCUGGUGUCUCCCCAGGUCUUUCAUGAAUGAGGAGGAAAACAAGACCCCAGACCAUCCAAGGCUCCAUCCAUGCCUACUACGGUCCAGUCAGACUUGGUGUCUCAAGACUUGUUUCUCCCACAGGUUUCUCUGAGUCCGGCUGCUUAGUGGAGAUGCCCUCACAAUGUGGCCUCCAUUCAAGGAAGAGGAUGUUUGCAUAGAAUGUAGUGAGUAAACAGACAACAGGAUCCGAACACCUGCCCCGAGUUCUGCAUUUGCUUGGCUGGUUUGCUGGUUUGGUCCCUGCUGAAGCUUCCGGAUGUGGCCUGAGGCCCAAGGUUGUACCGGCCAGAGGCACCUGCUGCCAGCCCUCUGAGGAAGUAGGGACUUGGGGCUGGGUGUGUGCAUGUGUGUGAACAUGCUGUGUAUAUUCAUACAUCUGUUUUUAUGUUCAGCUCUGCACACACGUCUGUAGCGGGUGCUGUGUGCAUGUGUACACACAUUCUGUGUGUGUGGGAGUACCUGGGUAUGUGUGCGUAUUUGGCAUAGUCUAUGUAUGCACGUGUGAGUUUAUGAGUGUCACAUGUAGUUGCACAUAUAGCCUGCACACGAACAUGCCAAGUGUUUGGGCUUCUGUGGGCAUGUGUGCUUGCAUGUGUGGGUGUGUUUGUAUGUGUGUAGCUGCUUUGGCUUAAGUGGGACUUAACCCUUUCCUGCUUGACUCUCCUCAUAACAUGCUGUUGGUCUAACUGUAGGUUGGGGCCUGAGGAGAGGAUGGAGACAGGGCUUCAGGGAUGGGGCCAGGGUAUUUAAGAGUGCUGUGCAGUAGUGUCCUAGACCUCGUCCCCCAAAUGGCUUCCCAUCAGUGGAACAGAUAUGAAAGAUUUGAGAUGGAGGGAUGGGGGUUGUACUGGCUAGUUUGUGUCAUGUGACACACACUGGAGUUAUCACAGAAAAAGGAGCCUCAGUUGUGGAAAUGCCUCCAUGAGACCCAGCUGUAAGGCAUUUUCUCAAUUAGUGAUCAAGGGGGGAGGACCCAGCCCCUUGUGGGUGGUGCUGUCCCUGGGCUGGUGAUCUUGAGUUCUAUAAGAAAGCAAGCUGAACAAGCCAGGGAAAGCAAGAUAAUAAGAAACAUCCCUCCAUGGCCUCUGCAUCAGCUCCUGCUUCCUGACCUGCUUGAAUUCCAGUCUUAACUUCCUUUGGUGAUGAACAGCAAGGUGAAAGUGUAAGUCGAAUAAACCCUUUUCUCCCCAAAUUGCUUCUUGGUCAUGAUGUUUGUGCAGGAAUAGAAACUCUGACUAAGACAGGGGUAUCUGCAGAGGGUCUCCAAGUUCUAUAAGGCUACAGAGGGUCAGCUCUGCAGAUCCUGUAGCCCCUGGAAGGGUGUUCCCAUCCCCAUACAGGUGGAGACCUGGCACUCCUGGUGGGCACAGCUUGCAUUUGCUGCUUGGAAACUCUUAAAUGGUAGGUGGGGUUACCCUGUGCUGGGCAGUCAGUAAUGCUUGCUUCAUUUUCCUGUCAACAGCCCAGCAUGCCGAGGCAUAAGCACAUGACUACGGACAGCAUGCCAAGGCAUAAGCACAUGACCACGGAAAUACCGCAGAGCUGGCAGCCAUAGGCACACGGUCCUGGCUUUGAGCCCCAGAGCCCAAACAAAAACAAAAUUGAAAGAAAAAAUUCCUAUCUUUAUGGAGCUGACAGAGCAGGUGGGAUACCAAGUUUGAGUCAGAGUCCUUGCUCCAUACAAGUAAAAUUGGCUGUCUAGUUACUUUUAAACUGAGGAGUCCCUAAUCCUUUGGCCAACAGCAGAAAGAGUAAAGAGUAGUCUGUCUGUCUGUCUGUCUGUCUGUCUGUCUGUCUGUCUCUCUCUCUCUCUCCCUCCCCCCCUCAGGCAAUGAGAUAAGUCAUCUAACAACAAAGCCGGAGUGUGGUGGACCCUGACCUCCAGAAAGCCCUCCAGAGACGUGAAUUCAGGAGAGCAGGCUCAUGCCCUUCCCUGGCUCUGACACCUGAUGGUUCCUGGGUGAGGCUUGUGGCAGUGAGCCCGACCAACCCCCAGGGUUGCCCAGAGCUUGUCUGUAGCCUCAUUCUCACCACAUUUUAUUAAUGUUCUUGAUCAUUGAGCCAACCAGCAACUUCUUGAGCGUCACCUAGAAGGUGACAGCCCAUGGGAAGAUCUAGAAGAGAGCUAGGCUGCAACCGAGCCUCCAAGGAAACAGAAAUGGCUGAGGGACCUGUGUCAGCAAACAGAUACUCCUGGGAAGGGCUGUUUCAGGUGCUUUGAGCUGUACAUCCUAGUGAGACAGCUGGCAGGUGGAUUCCGUCUACAGCUGUUUCUCCUUUCUGCUUCCUCACAGUAAACGUUUAAGGUUUCGGGCAUAUCACGAUCCUCUCACCUCGGUGACUUAGGUCCUACAGUGGUGAAAAAUGACAUAACCCUGACACAGUUACCCCGUGAUCACCCAUCACGGUGCCUGCCUCAGUCACGGAUGCUGAGGGAAACCCUCAAGUGCAAAUUCUGCUACGUUAGGUUUCUUAAACUUAUGAUUUCCCAGCAGGGGCAUUUGCCGAGGGUCUGCUGGUCUCUGGGGGGCAUCUUGUGUGGAAUGCUGGGAUGUUAGGCCGUGGUUUGGGAACUGGGAUCUACUUCACAAGUGCAGGCUGGGUGAAGAGCCACCCGAGAGCUCUAAUUCCACUCCAAUCAGAUGCAAUUCCAUAGCAUAGGCCCUUAAUGAGGGUUAAUGACAUUAAUUACUGCCCCCUUCACUCAGGAGCACGUUCAAGAGGAGCUAAUUGCUAUGUAAUGGCUCAGGGAUCACUGAGACCCUGGCAGAACUGCAGAGGAGUGUGUCUCCUUUUCUCGCCCGCUCCUCCACCCCUGCCGCCACCUUGCUUCCUUUUCUCCCAAGAUGCUUCUGUGCCUCCUGGGUUCACUGUCACGGAGACCCCAGGCUGGGUCUUAAGUGUGAUUGCAGGCAAGUCUAUUGUGUUUAGCAACUGCAACUUCUCUGUGGAAUGUGGUAGGGCAGACUUCCCACAAGGCCUGGGGGACCGGACUCUGUGCUGCUAACUCCUGCAAAAGGAUGCAAUUGCAGAAUUCAAAGAAAGCAUAGCUGACUGGGCCCAGAAGUUUCUCUUUUACGAUUUUUCUGGGACAACUGCACUUUCUGGUGUGCACAGACUGUGUCCGAGGUUUGAGGGGGCAGUGAGGGUCUCUGUGUCUGCUCAUAUGUGCCGCCCUCCACGUACAGACACAGGCUGGGGUGUGUGUGUGACUGGAUGGAGAUCACUGAGCUGUUAGUCCUCGUGUGCCAUGGGCUAUGUGGCUGGGUCUUGGAGAACUUGGAUGUCUGGCUUAGCCUGUUAGUGGGAGACAUGGUGAGUCUGUGUUGUACCCUAAACUGUUAGAUGGGGUAUCAGUUGCAUUAAAAUGAAAUCACCCCAUCUUUGUAAUCUCUGUGACUAAGCCCCUCAACACUAUUUUAAAGUGUUCCUUCCCACCAAAUAGCCUGCCAUGUUUUUGCAAAGUUUAAAUUUCUAUUUUGAUCCCUUACUUUAGCUAUCCUCAAAUAUUUUUAUUUAUCUCUUUAGAGUUCCUCAUCUGGGUCUUUUUAUUGUAUUUGCACUUACCCUAUUUUAUUUAAGAAAGAUUUAUUAUUUUUAGUUAUGUGUGUGCAUGUGUGUUUCUGUGUCAGGAUACACAUGUGAGUGUGGGUGUCUUCAGGGGCUAGAGCAGGCAGUGGAUACCUGGGGUUGGGCUUAGGGAUAUGUGUGAGCUUUGGGCAUGCUGGGAACCUAACCCAGGACUUGUGCAAGCACACACACACUGUCAACCUUCUCUGCAGUCCCUACUCCAUUUUUUAUGUUGUUGUUUUUGCUAAGUCUUUGGCCUUAUAGAGGUCAGGUAGCUUCUAG
Molecule: long non-coding RNA, 13984 nt
Organism: Rattus norvegicus (Norway rat)
Lineage: Eukaryota; Metazoa; Chordata; Mammalia; Rodentia; Muridae
Source: RefSeq, a predicted model, not a curated record